GUCUGCGGCCAUGCCACUCUGAACAAGCCGGAUCCCGUCUGAUCUCAGAAGCUAAGCAGGAUCGGGCCUGAUUAGUUCUUGGAUGGGAAACCAUCUAGGAAAGACCAGGGCCGUAGGCG
Molecule: ribosomal RNA, 119 nt
Filed under: Pteropus alecto (black flying fox)
Lineage: Eukaryota; Metazoa; Chordata; Mammalia; Chiroptera; Pteropodidae
Source: RNAcentral